This 1082-nucleotide ribosomal RNA is filed under the name Billgrantia kenyensis. RNAcentral describes it as "bacterial SSU rRNA". It matches the Rfam family "Bacterial small subunit ribosomal RNA", at positions 455 to 1533 of the family's 1533-position model. The record is from RNAcentral. Lineage: Bacteria; Pseudomonadati; Pseudomonadota; Gammaproteobacteria; Oceanospirillales; Halomonadaceae.
UAAUACCCGGGAGGAAGGACAUCACCCACAGAAGAAGCACCGGCUAACUCCGUGCCAGCAGCCGCGGUAAUACGGAGGGUGCGAGCGUUAAUCGGAAUUACUGGGCGUAAAGCGCGCGUAGGUGGCUUGAUAAGCCGGUUGUGAAAGCCCCGGGCUCAACCUGGGAACGGCAUCCGGAACUGUCAGGCUAGAGUGCAGGAGAGGAAGGUAGAAUUCCCGGUGUAGCGGUGAAAUGCGUAGAGAUCGGGAGGAAUACCAGUGGCGAAGGCGGCCUUCUGGACUGACACUGACACUGAGGUGCGAAAGCGUGGGUAGCAAACAGGAUUAGAUACCCUGGUAGUCCACGCCGUAAACGAUGUCGACUAGCCGUUGGGUCCUUCGCGGACUUUGUGGCGCAGUUAACGCGAUAAGUCGACCGCCUGGGGAGUACGGCCGCAAGGUUAAAACUCAAAUGAAUUGACGGGGGCCCGCACAAGCGGUGGAGCAUGUGGUUUAAUUCGAUGCAACGCGAAGAACCUUACCUACCCUUGACAUCCUGCGAACCCUUCGGAGACGAAGGGGUGCCUUCGGGAACGCAGAGACAGGUGCUGCAUGGCUGUCGUCAGCUCGUGUUGUGAAAUGUUGGGUUAAGUCCCGUAACGAGCGCAACCCUUGUCCCUAUUUGCCAGCGAUUCGGUCGGGAACUCUAGGGAGACUGCCGGUGACAAACCGGAGGAAGGUGGGGACGACGUCAAGUCAUCAUGGCCCUUACGGGUAGGGCUACACACGUGCUACAAUGGUCGGUACAAAGGGUUGCGAACUUGCGAAAGUGAGCUAAUCCCAGAAAGCUGAUCUCAGUCCGGAUCGGAGUCUGCAACUCGACUCCGUGAAGUCGGAAUCGCUAGUAAUCGUGAAUCAGAAUGUCACGGUGAAUACGUUCCCGGGCCUUGUACACACCGCCCGUCACACCAUGGGAGUGGACUGCACCAGAAGUGGUUAGCCUAACCUUCGGGAGGGCGAUCACCACGGUGUGGUUCAUGACUGGGGUGAAGUCGUAACAAGGUAGCCGUAGGGGAACCUGCGGCUGGAUCACCUCCUUAAAC